GUCAAGCUCCCGGCCGGGCUGACUCAAGCGGAGGCGCGCGGAACAGUCGCCGAGGCGAUUCCCGCCCAGGCUCCUGUAACCGCCAGGCAGCGGCCCCACCAUGUCCCAGCCCCGGACCCCAGAGCAGGCACUGGAUACGCCGGGGGACUGCCCCCCAGGCAGGAGAGACGAGGACGCUGGGGAGGGGAUCCAGUGCUCCCAACGCAUGCUCAGCUUCAGUGAUGCCCUGCUGUCCAUCAUCGCCACCGUCAUGAUCCUGCCUGUGACCCACACGGAGAUCUCCCCAGAACAGGUAACGGGGCAGGCUGUGCUCUGCGUGGUGUGGCCCUGAGAAGAUAUAGGGUACCCGAGGCCCGACCUGGCACAGGGGGCUGACCCUGCACGCCUCGAAGCUUCUGAGGCUUAGGAGGCAGAGGCGGGAGGCAGGGGCCUCCUUGGAAAGGGAGGGAGCCAACAAGUCCUGCUCAGCCUGUGCUCACCCCGGCGGAGGUCCUGGCCUCCUGGGAGGGUGGGAGACUGGGCUCCUAGGGCUCUGUUUCCGAGUUCAGUGGACAAAGGCAGCACCCUGGAAGUGAGCCAGAGGACAGGUUGGAAGAGGAAGGUUCCGGGCCUGCCCCAAGGACAGAAGUUUCCUCUGCGGGAGGGCAGCUGCCCCAGCAGGCAGGCCCCUUACGUAGCUGCUCUGAGUAAACGGGGCCAGCGCCCCGUCUCAGCAGGGACACUCCUACCCCGGCUGCUCCUGCAGGCCUGGAGCAGUUCGACAGAAGUGUACAGAGGCUUCUGGCAACACGGAUUGCCGUCUACCUGAUGACCUUUCUCAUCGUGACAGUGGCCUGGGCAGCACACACAAGGUUGUUCCAAGUUGUUGGGAAAACAGACGACACACUUGCCCUGCUCAACCUGGCCUGCAUGAUGACCAUCACCUUCCUGCCUUACACGUUUUCGUUAAUGGUGACCUUCCCUGAUGUGCCUCUGGGCAUCUUCUUGUUCUGUGUGUGUGUGAUCGCCAUCGGGGUCGUGCAGGCACUGAUUGUGGGGUACGCAUUCCACUUCCCGCACCUGCUGAGCCCGCAGAUCCGGCGCUCUGCCCACAGGGCUCUGUACCGACGACACGUCCUGGGCAUCGUCCUCCAAGGCCCAGCCCUGUGCUUUGCAGCGGCCAUCUUCGCUCUCUUCUUUGUCCCUUUGUCUUACCUGCUGAUGGUGACUGUCAUCCUCCUCCCCUAUGUCAGCAAGGUCACCGGCUGGUGCAGAGACAGGCUCCUGGGCCGCAGGGAGCCCUCGGCUCACCCAGUGGAAGUCUUCUCGUUUGACCUCCACGAGCCACUCAGCAAGGAGCGCGUGGAAGCCUUCAGCGACGGAGUCUACGCCAUCGUGGCCACGCUUCUCAUCCUGGACAUCUGCGAAGACAACGUCCCGGACCCCAAGGAUGUGAAGGAGAGGUUCGGCGGCAGCCUCGUGGCCGCCCUGAGUGCGACCGGGCCGCGCUUCCUGGCGUACUUCGGCUCCUUCGCCACGGUGGGACUGCUGUGGUUCGCCCACCACUCACUCUUCCUGCAUGUGCGCAAGGCCACGCGGGCCAUGGGGCUGCUGAACACGCUCUCGCUGGCCUUCGUGGGUGGCCUCCCACUAGCCUACCAGCAGACCUCGGCCUUCGCCCGGCAGCCCCGCGAUGAGCUGGAGCGCGUGCGUGUCAGCUGCACCAUCAUCUUCCUGGCCAGCAUCUUCCAGCUGGCCAUGUGGACCACGGCGCUGCUGCACCAGGCGGAGACGCUGCAGCCCUCGGUGUGGUUUGGCGGCCGGGAGCACGUGCUCAUGUUCGCCAAGCUGGCGCUGUACCCCUGUGCCAGCCUACUGGCCUUCGCCUCCACCUGCCUGCUGAGCAGGUUCAGUGUGGGCAUCUUCCACCUCAUGCAGAUCGCCGUGCCCUGCGCCUUCCUGUUGCUGCGCCUGCUCGUGGGCCUGGCCCUGGCCACCCUGCGGGUUCUGCGGGGCCUCGCCCGGCCCGAACACCCCCCGCCAGCCCCCACGGGCCAGGACGACCCACAGUCCCAGCUCCCCCCUGCCCCCUGCUAGCAGCCACAGAGCCCACUUCCAGCCGUCCUCACCAGAGAUGGACCAGGGAGGACAGGAUGCUGGGCAGGGGAAGCCAAGUCACGGGCAGGCCGCAGUGGUUCUUGCGUGGCCUGGUUUUAUUUUCAUUGUGAAAUAUCAUGCUCUUAUUUCAGUCCUCAAA
This 2236-nucleotide small RNA is filed under the name Pan troglodytes (chimpanzee). RNAcentral describes it as "retained intron". The record is from RNAcentral. Lineage: Eukaryota; Metazoa; Chordata; Mammalia; Primates; Hominidae.